Molecule: long non-coding RNA, 1146 nt
Organism: Raphanus sativus (radish)
Lineage: Eukaryota; Viridiplantae; Streptophyta; Magnoliopsida; Brassicales; Brassicaceae
Exons: 4
Source: RefSeq, a predicted model, not a curated record
ACUUCGGUGUUCGGCUGCUCUUCGACGCUUGAGGCCCAUCAACACUUUCUCUGCCAAAACCUAAUUCAUACGACGGCGACGAUGACUGUCGACCUUCUUCAUGAAUCUGGAAUGGAGAGCGUUAUAGUUUAUCGGUGUUUAUUAUCAUUAAUUCAUACGCCCACUACGAGUUCUUCAAUCUGUCGUUUCCAUCUGAAAGGUUGUGAGUUUUGGUAUAAAUAGAUAUCAAACUCGAAUCCCACUCCUAAACUGGGAGCAUAGUUUCGUUAUAGUGAAAGGUAUUGUGGAAGGAUUGUGCUACCUCCAUAACUUCACAUGCCCACCGAUCCUUCACUGCGACCUUAAGCCAAGUUAUAUGCUUCUCGGCAGAGACAUGAUCCCAAAAAUCUCAGAUGUUAGGCUGGUUCAGAUGAUGGAAACUGGCACCACAGAAGCUGCCAUGGGAACAGCAGGGCUGCAUGUCUGAAGAAUAUGGGAAAGAUGAUAUCAUAUCUGAGAAAUCGGAUGUCUUCAGUUAUGGAGUAGUGUUGUUAGAGAUUCUUACUGGAAGGAGAAACCAUGAGUAUUGUAUUACAAAUCAAGGAGAUAGUCUUCUCGACUACGUUUGGAGGCAGUGGACGGAAGGUGCUGGAUUCGAGCUUCCAUGAUGAUUCAUUGUAGAAGACCAGGUUUUACGAUCAGUGAAGAUUGUCUAUCCUAGGUUCAACAAAAUAUGCACGAUAGACCUAUCACAAGGACCGUCGUGCUUGAAAGUAGCCCAUGAUCAGAAAUUCCAGAACCGACGAAACCAAACCAUUAUCUCACAAGAGCUGAUCUCAUGCCCGCCACCAUCAAUGUGAACCAUACUCCCACCUACAGAUGACACUUGAAGGCGCAGGUUCUAUGUUCUCUAUGAUACUUCGUUGUCACUAUGUGUAAUCAUAAUUUUAGAUUGUCAGACUUAACUCCGAAGAUACGACCGGUUUGAUGAGAUAACCAGCAUCAAUGUUAUGAAUCUAUUUCAAUAAUGCUGAGUUAGGCAUCAAAUAUCAAUGUUGGGUUUUUUCUUUAAGACGUGACAUCUGCUUCUGUUUUCUUUUAAUUUCUGGACAAUGUUUAUUUUCUGAAACAUAUUUUAAAUUAUGUUUGGCUUUAAGAUUACACAAA